CACGUAGGGGCCAAGCGCUGUCCGGAUUCAUUGGGCGUAAAGAGCUCGUAGGCGGUUCAGUUAGUCGGGUGUGAAAUCUCCGGGCUCAACCCGGAGGGGCCACCCGAUACUGCUGUGACUCGAGUCCGGUAGGGGAGUGGGGAAUUCCUGGUGUAGCGGUGAAAUGCGCAGAUAUCAGGAGGAACACCGGUGGCGAAAGCGACUCUCUGGACGGCAACUGACGCUGAGGCACGAAAGCGUGGGGAGCAAACAGG
This 254-nucleotide ribosomal RNA is filed under the name uncultured bacterium. Its description in RNAcentral is "partial 16S ribosomal RNA". It matches the Rfam family "Bacterial small subunit ribosomal RNA", at positions 524 to 776 of the family's 1533-position model. The record is from RNAcentral.